This 253-nucleotide ribosomal RNA is filed under the name uncultured bacterium. RNAcentral's name for it is "partial 16S ribosomal RNA". It matches the Rfam family "Bacterial small subunit ribosomal RNA", at positions 524 to 776 of the family's 1533-position model. The record is from RNAcentral.
UACGUAGGGUGCGAGCGUUAAUCGGAAUUACUGGGCGUAAAGCGUGCGCAGGCGGUUGUGCAAGACAGAUGUGAAAUCCCCGGGCUUAACCUGGGAACUGCAUUUGUGACUGCACGGCUAGAGUGUGUCAGAGGGGGGUAGAAUUCCACGUGUAGCAGUGAAAUGCGUAGAUAUGUGGAGGAAUACCAGUGGCGAAGGCGGCGAUCUGGGAAGAUACUGACGCUGAGGUGCGAAAGCGUGGGGAGCAAACAGG